Molecule: ribosomal RNA, 486 nt
Filed under: uncultured bacterium
Lineage: Bacteria
Description: partial 16S ribosomal RNA
Rfam family: Bacterial small subunit ribosomal RNA
Source: RNAcentral
AUUGAACGCUGGCGGCAUGCCUUACACAUGCAAGUCGAACGGCAGCACGGGUGCUUGCACCUGGUGGCGAGUGGCGAACGGGUGAGUAAUACAUCGGAACAUGUCCUGUAGUGGGGGAUAGCCCGGCGAAAGCCGGAUUAAUACCGCAUACGAUCCACGGAUGAAAGCGGGGGACCUUCGGGCCUCGCGCUAUAGGGUUGGCCGAUGGCUGAUUAGCUAGUUGGUGGGGUAAAGGCCUACCAAGGCGACGAUCAGUAGCUGGUCUGAGAGGACGACCAGCCACACUGGGACUGAGACACGGCCCAGACUCCUACGGGGGGCAGCAGUGGGGAAUUUUGGACAAUGGGCGAAAGCCUGAUCCAGCAAUGCCGCGUGUGUGAAGAAGGACUUCGGGUUGUAAAGCACUUUUGUCCGGAAAGAAAUCCUUGACUCUAAUACAGUCGGGGGAUGACGGUACCGGAAGAAUAAGCACCGGCUAACUACGUG